This 449-nucleotide ribosomal RNA is filed under the name uncultured bacterium. Its description in RNAcentral is "partial 16S ribosomal RNA". It matches the Rfam family "Bacterial small subunit ribosomal RNA", at positions 29 to 523 of the family's 1533-position model. The record is from RNAcentral.
AGCGAAUGCUGGCGGCAGGCCUAACACAUGCAAGUCGAACGGACCCUUCGGGGUUAGUGGCGGACGGGUGAGUAACACGUGGGAACGUGCCUUUAGGUUCGGAAUAGCUCCUGGAAACGGGUGGUAAUGCCGAAUGUGCCCUUCGGGGGCAGGAGUUAUCGCCUUUAUAGCGGCCCGGUUCUGAUUAGCUAGUUGGUGAGGUAAAGGCUCACCAAGGCUACGAUCAGUAGCUGGUCUGAGAGUAAGACCAGCUACAUUGGGACUGAGACACGGCCCAAACUCCCGCGGGAGGCAGCGGUGGGGAAUCUUGCGCAAUGAGCGAAAGCCUGACGCAGCCAUGCCGCGUGAAUGAUGAAGGUCGUAUGAUUGUAAAAUUCUUUCACCGGGGACGAUAAUGACGGUACCCGGAGAAGAAGCCCCGGCUAACUUCGUGCCAGCCGCCGCAGUAA